CUAGCAUAUGCGCGAGUCAGUGGGUGAUAAACCUGAAGGCGUAAUGAAAGUAAAAGUCGCCUCGAUGCGACCGAUAUGGGAUCCAUGCGUUAUUGGAAUCCGCACGGCGCACCAUAGCCCCGUCCCCGUUGAUUGCAAUAGGGCGGAGGUACAGCGCUUACGCUGGCACUCGAAAGAUGGUGAACUAUGCCUGAGCAGUAUGAGGCCGGAGGAAAAUUUGGUGGAAGUCUGAAGCGGUUCUGGCGUGCAGAUCGAUCCUCUGACUUGGGUAUAGGGGCGAAAGACUAAUCGAGCCAUCUAGUAGCUGG
RNAcentral lists this non-coding RNA (308 nucleotides) under Toxocara canis (dog roundworm). RNAcentral describes it as "Eukaryotic large subunit ribosomal RNA". It matches the Rfam family "Eukaryotic large subunit ribosomal RNA", at positions 675 to 954 of the family's 3401-position model. Lineage: Eukaryota; Metazoa; Nematoda; Chromadorea; Rhabditida; Toxocaridae. The record is from Rfam by way of RNAcentral.